UCAUGCUGGCGACCCGUGGGGCUCCUCCGCUGGGAAUCUCCUGGUCCUUGAGCAACAAAAAUUCGUCUGAAAGUGUGGCGUCCUCUCAUUCUCUGUGCUUUCACUGGGAGCUACAAUUUCAAGCUGCUCGUGAUCAGCCAUCUUGCAUCUCUCUCCAGAAAGAAGUAUUAAAAGGCAG
This is a long non-coding RNA of Cebus imitator (Panamanian white-faced capuchin), 178 nucleotides long. RefSeq lists it as uncharacterized. The record is from RefSeq and is a predicted model, not a curated record. NCBI's taxonomy places the organism in Eukaryota, Metazoa, Chordata, Mammalia, Primates, Cebidae. The transcript has 3 exons.